AUCUAUAUAAUUAAAUUACCUAAGAUAAACCAAUUAUGAAAAAAUGAUAAGUAUCUAAAAUUAGACCCGAAGGCUAGUGAUCUUACCAUGAUCAGGGUUAAAAAGGCCCGAACGGGUUAUCGUUGUAUAGAUAUCCGAUGAAUUGUGGUAAGUUAGUGAAAGAUAAAACUGACUAGUAUAGCUGGUUUUCCGCGAAACCUAUGUGAGUAGGUAAUUUAAUUAACAUCUUAGCAGGUACAGAACUGUGAUCUCGGACAAUAUUAUUUUUAUAAUACUUGUUUACAUCGGGGGAUUGUAGUGAUUUUAUCGGAGAGUAUUUGCACUCGGAAGGGCAAAGAUGAAUAUUGAAUAAUCGGACAUAGUACGAUAAGGUUGUAUGUCUAAAGGGAAACAGCCCAGAACAAGAGUUUAAGGUUCCAAAAUUAUUGUUAAGUGAAAUUAAGGAUGUUUUUUUCAAAAACAAUCAGGAAAUAGGCUUAGAGGCGGCCAUUUUUUGAAGAUCUCGUAACAGAGCACUGAUUAAAUUUAAUAGGAAAAAAUACCGAAAAUUUAACGGAUCUAAAUAAUAUACCGAAACCUUGUACACAAUAACUGUGGGGUAGCGGAACAUCGGAUGUUUGAAUAAUUAGUAUAUUUAUUUUAUUAAGUAUACUUACACAUAUAAGUCAAAUGUAUUGUUUAUAAAAAAAAUAUAUUUAUAUAUUUUUUUUAUAAAUUUUCAUUUUUCAUAGAUUGGCUCAUAUUUUGAGUUUGACUUAUAUUGUUGAGAGAAUUCCGAUAGAGAAUGCUGACAUGAGUAACGAAAAAGUUAACCUCGCCUUAAGCUUAUGGUAUUUAAAUUAAUUUUCGGUGUCUAAGUAAUUAAUCUAAAGAUAAUUACGAUGACGUAAUGGUGAAUUUUUAAUUUAUAUAAUUAUAAAUUUAACUAAUUACAAAACUAUAAGUAACAAUAUAUAUAAUAUAUUACUAUAAUGAAAGAUUGCAUAACCUUUGUAAAGUAGCAGAGGUUCAGGAAAUAAGUUUUUUAUUAUAUACUAUUUAUAUUAUACAAAAUAUUGUUAUAUUAAAUGAUAUAGUAAUAAAAAAGUAAUUAGCAUAUACCGUACCUAGAUACUAUCACAAGUAAGCAAGUAGAGUAUACAAAGGCGUUUGAGUGAACAAUCAUUAAGGAACUCGGCAAAUUGACUACCGUAACUUCGGGAUAAGGAGAACCAUUUUUAUUAGUUUGACCAAUUUUAUAUUGGAUAAUUAUUAAAUUAAUAGAAAGAGGGGGCAUAGAAUAAUGUUGUACGACUGUUUAAUAAAAACAAAGCACUCUGCCAAGAUAAAAGUCUAAGUAUUGAGUGUGAUGUCUGCCCAAUGUCGGCUGGAUAACGAAUUUAUCUUGAUAUUUAUUUAAGGUUUUGAAGGAUACCCCGAUCAAUGGCGGCCU
RNAcentral lists this non-coding RNA (1432 nucleotides) under Talaromyces marneffei ATCC 18224. RNAcentral's name for it is "Penicillium marneffei ATCC 18224 Bacterial large subunit ribosomal RNA". It matches the Rfam family "Bacterial large subunit ribosomal RNA", at positions 648 to 1936 of the family's 2925-position model. Lineage: Eukaryota; Fungi; Ascomycota; Eurotiomycetes; Eurotiales; Trichocomaceae. The record is from Rfam by way of RNAcentral.